GUCUACGGCCAUACCACCCUGAACGUGCCCUAUCUCGUCUGAUCUCGGAAGCUAAGCAGGGUCGGGCGUGGUUAGUACUUGGAUGGGAAACAGCCUGGGAAUACUGGGUGCUGUAGGCU
RNAcentral lists this ribosomal RNA (119 nucleotides) under Peromyscus maniculatus bairdii (prairie deer mouse). Lineage: Eukaryota; Metazoa; Chordata; Mammalia; Rodentia; Cricetidae. The record is from RNAcentral.